UACAGAGGGUGCAAGCGUUAAUCGGAAUCACUGGGCGUAAAGGGCGCGUAGGUGGUCUGUUAAGUCUGGCGUUAAAGCCUGGGGCUCAACCCCAGAUCAGCGUUGGAUACUGGCAGGCUAGACGGUUGGAGAGGCGAGUGGAAUUACCAGUGUAGCGGUGGAAUGCGUAGAUACUGGUAGGAACACCCAUUGCGAAGGCAGCUCGCUGGACAACACGUGACACUGAGGCGCGAAAGUGUGGGGAGCAAACCGGAUUAGAUACCCCGGUA
Molecule: ribosomal RNA, 269 nt
Filed under: uncultured prokaryote
Description: partial 16S ribosomal RNA
Rfam family: Bacterial small subunit ribosomal RNA
Source: RNAcentral